GAUGAACGCUGGCGGCGUGCUUAACACAUGCAAGUCGAACGGAAAGGCUCCUGCUUGCAGGGGUACUCGAGUGGCGAACGGGUGAGUAACACGUGGGUGAACUGCCCUGCACUUCGGGAUAAGCCUGGGAAACUGGGUCUAAUACCGGAUAGGACCACAUUUUGGAUGGUGUGGUGGAAAGUUUUUCGGUGUGGGAUGAGCUCGCGGCCUAUCAGCUUGUUGGUGGGGUAAUGGCCUACCAAGGCGUCGACGGGUAGCCGGCCUGAGAGGGUGUACGGCCACAUUGGGACUGAGAUACGGCCCAGACUCCUACGGGAGGCAGCAGUGGGGAAUAUUGCACAAUGGGCGCAAGCCUGAUGCAGCGACGCCGCGUGGGGGAUGACGGCCUUCGGGUUGUAAACUCCUUUCGCUAGGGACGAAGCGCAAGUGACGGUACCUGGAGAAGAAGCACCGGCUAACUACGUG
This 465-nucleotide ribosomal RNA is filed under the name uncultured bacterium. RNAcentral describes it as "partial 16S ribosomal RNA". It matches the Rfam family "Bacterial small subunit ribosomal RNA", at positions 28 to 507 of the family's 1533-position model. The record is from RNAcentral.